UACGGGGGGGGCAAGCGUUGUUCGGAAUUACUGGGCGUAAAGGGCUCGUAGGCGGCCAACUAAGUCAGACGUGAAAUCCCUCGGCUUAACCGGGGAACUGCAUCUGAUACUGGAUGGCUUGAGUUCGGGAGAGGGAUGCGGAAUUCCAGGUGUAGCGGUGAAAUGCGUAGAUAUCUGGAGGAACACCGGUGGCGAAGGCGGCAUCCUGGACCGACACUGACGCUGAGGAGCGAAAGCCAGGGGAGUAAACGGG
Molecule: ribosomal RNA, 253 nt
Filed under: uncultured bacterium
Lineage: Bacteria
Description: partial 16S ribosomal RNA
Rfam family: Bacterial small subunit ribosomal RNA
Source: RNAcentral